AGGCAUGCGGUUUAUUGUUCGAAUUAAUUAAUGGAUUAUUAAUAAGAAAUGUAGAUAAUGUAUGCUGCAAAACUUUGAAAAUCCUGAAACACACCCUAAGGGUUAUGGAAUUUACAUCUUUCACAGCUUCUAUUAUUUCUUCACUAGUUUGCAGCUAUGCCCACACCUGGAAGGUGACAAAAGGUGGAGUUUACUUUCUCGCCCGUGUCAGCAGUCAUACUGUGGAAUCCAUGAAAAUUGGAUUUCCUUUUUCUGGUGCGUUUUACUCUUGAACUGUGUAACUGUGGAUAACUUUAAUACUGCCCAUUCUUUGUUUACAGUUAUAUAAUUUCUAUGAGCCUUAAAAGUAACCGACAUAUUUCUUUCUUAAGGUUUCAGUAUAAAACAUAAUCUGCAUCUUCAUUAUGAAACUCAUAUGCAAUUUUCUUCUAUCUCUAGAAGUUUAGAUUGAGGUUUAAAAGAACCAUUUUCAUUAUCAAGCUUCCCCAUAGUUUCCCACUUUCCUAUUCCAAAUAUUUUAAAAAAUCACACCAAAUAUCAGAGCUUUUAGCAAUAUAAAGAAAGAUUUACUUUCAAAAGUAGCAAAACUUGUUUGAAAAAAAUAUAUAUCUUUAAGUGAAUUACUUUAUAAAUGUGACUGUCAAAGUCAGCUAUCCUAUGAUCUACAUUUUACAACAUAUUGUACAAAAGAUACAUUGAUAGGCUCUUAUCUAUUUAUAUAUUUAUAAUUACAUAUUGCACUUGGACCAGCAAGGCUUGCAGAGUCAUUCACGGUAGAAGUUAAUAAAGUUAAAUAGAUGGGAAUCUUUGUAAGUACAAUUGAUCUCCUCUGGUUUGGAAACAAAUCUCCUCGUCGUUGUAAAGUGUUCUCGCGGGGUGGGACAGAGAGAGGAGCAUUGCGAGGGGGAAGCAGAGACAGAGAGCACGGAGGGCAGGGGUCGCCUUCCCGGGGCCCGCUCCCCCCGGGAGCGCGCCUUUCCCAGACUCGCACCUCCAAGGUCAGGACGCGGUGGUUCCACAUAAGCGGCUCGCGGUCACCACUUCUUUCAGGUCACUCUCGGGUUUCCCGGCCACCAUAAAGGGCCACGUCUGCGGGAAAGAAGAGGGUGGAGGAGGUGGAGAUUUAAAUGACCACAUCCACCCUAAGAUUUAUUGUGAGAAUGAUUGAUGUUAUAAACCAGGAAAAAGACUCUUCCCACAGCAGGGAUGACAGAAAUAUCAAGUUGAAGUUGCCUUUGUCUUCACAUACAAAUGACCCAGUACUAUAACACAGAAAGUAUAAUAAUUUAAUCUGAGGUUCAAGACAGCAGUAAGAGAACACCCAGCAGGCCUGUUAAAAAUUUCUUCACUAAUUCCCCAACUAGUUUCCUUUGAUUUGCUCUCCCUUUUCUCAGUCUUGGUAAAACAUGAAAGUUAAAGUUAUUUUUAGACUAAAGAGCUAUGUGAAAAUAGGCAUUGGCCAAUACUUUGUGAAAUGUGUGUGUGUGUGUGUGUGUGUGUGUGUGUAGCUACUAAGAUAUCUGCAAAAUAACUACAAAUAAUUAAUUUGGGCUCUGGAAUGUGAUAAUUAUUAUAAAUCCAAACUAUGGCCUUAAUACCAGGCUAUUAAGCUGUGAUUUUUCUUGUUGGAGCCAUUUUUUUUUCUUUUUGGCUCUGGCUUUCUGUUACACCUUAGUUAAUGGACUGCUCAGGCUGUCUGGGGAGAUAGUAACAAUCAUAGUAAUAUGUACCACUGAAAAGAUUUCUGUUAUCUGUAUAUUUUUCAAUGUUGGAAACUUAAAAGUACCAAUUUCUGGAAGCAUGUAAAACUAGCCUCAUGUCAUAGGCUGGUUUUUAUGCUUAGCAAUUACUUUUCUUCAUAGCCAUAUAAGAAAUAAUUAAGUCCCAUGUCCAUUUAUCUUGCAGUGAGGCAUUUAGGCUGAGAAAGGCUAGUGGGCUGAUAAUAAAUUUUGGAGUGUUUCUAAAAUUCUGUAAAAGAUGGCUUCCAGUUUGGGAGUAAGAGUUGAAGAAUGCUGUUGCUUAUGUAUCUUGAUAUGAAGUCUUGAAGAAAGAAUAUUCAUAUGAAAAAUACUUUUUUCUUUUAAAAUUUUGUGUCUAUCCCUGCUAAUAAACACUUAGGGACAAAUGGGUGGGGGAAAUGACUUCUUGUUGGAUUCUACUGAGCAAAUCAGUUAAGCUGUAACUUAAGCUGUGCCAAAUUCUCCCAAAAUAUAAACUAUAUUCUGUGAGAAGAGAAGCACUUUUGAGAAGCUGUAUUAACCCUUUUGGUACGUUGACCCUUCUGUUCCAAAGCACGAAAUAGAAAACUAGUGAUUUGAAAGUAUGAGAUCAUUUCUAAAAGUUCUUACCUGACUUUUAAGAAACAGUUAUGCCCCAGAGGCAUCUGGCCAAUUUGCUGCUCACUUCUAACAAUUUGUUUUGCAAGAGAGACUAUCUUUGAAAGAUUUUAGUGCUAAGGAAAUUUUAUCUCCGAAAGCUGUAAAAUGAAGAUUAGGCAUGGAAUGUACCCUUGAACUUAAAUCCUGGUUUAUCAGCUGAUACAUUUACAGGAAGUUCAAAUUUGAUUCAGUUGCACUUGGAUGGAAUAAUUUGCUUCCUUUUUUAUGAGAAGGAAAACAUCAUAGGCUUCCUUUGAACUGACUUCAUAUGCCAUUACAUAAUCUUUCUCAGGGGAAAAAUAUGCCUUUAAAUGUAAAUGUUAAUUCUUUUCUCUUACUCCUCAUAAUUUGGUCAGGAGACACAGGCUGGCAAAUCGGCAAAACUGCCCAUUCUCUUUUUUCUUCAUUUCUAAUUAGCACCUCCAGAUGUUUUAUUCAUUUUAUUUGAUGGUAACUACCACCACUUCAAAUAUUUGCCAACUUUCUAUGCAACUUGAUGCCUUUUUUUUUUCUUUUUUGUUGGAGUCUUGCUCUGUCACCCAAGCUGGAGUGCAUCAGCAUGAUCUAGGCUCACUGCAACCUCCGCCUCCCAAGUUUAAGAGAUUCUCAUGCCUCAGCCUCUCGAGUAGCUAGAAUUACAGGUGCCUGCCACCAUGCCUAUCUAAUUUUUGUAUUUUUAGUAGAGGUGGGAUUUCGCCAUUUUGGCCAGGCUGGUUUCAAACUCCUGAUCUACCCACCUCGGCCUCCCAAAGUGCUGGGAUUACAGGCAUGAGCCACCGUGCCCAGCCAGGUGCCUCUUUUUUGAUUUUACAUAAUUAUCUCCAUACCCUUUGUUUGCUGCUGAUUGAUUGUUGUCUAUCUCCCACUUAUAUGCCUAUCAAAAUCUGACUUUGUUUCAUUAAAUUUUAACUUUAUUUCAUAAAGUGAGCAUUACCUCUCUUUGCUCCUUCUAAAUUAUAGUGGUGCUGGCCUGUUAUAUUUUGGCAGCCAAAGUGAAUAUGGCACUAGUGAGCUUGGUGGCUAGCUAAGAAGGUCAAUAACAGUGAUGCUGGGUGUUGCUGCUACCUUUACUUGGCACCAGCUGGGAGACGGUAUAAAUCCUGGAUGGUAUAAAUCCAUUCAGUAAUCAGAAGUCUUCCGCGUGUUCACUAUACCCUAACCCCCUCUUUUCACAUUUAAUUCAGUGAAUUGUAGAUAAGAUGCCACAUUGCUAAGAUUUAAAGCUGGCAAAUAACAACAAUAAAGUUUAGGGAAAGAUUCUGCAUGGUUCUUUGAAUCCAGGAGUUAAUCUUGCAUUUCACGUGUUCCACAAUACAGCUUUGAAAGCAGCCAAGCCUAUGCACUUGAAAGUCAGGGUUUACCCUAAGGUGUAAGUGGGCCAGAGAAAACUCGGGCAGACAAAGAGAGUUAAACAUUUUGCAAAGCCAGUUUAGUGUCUUCCUAAGUUUUCUAAUACUAGAAUAAUUGUAUUAGACCCUGUCAGUGUUAGGAAAGAGAGAGAAAAGGACUGAGCGACUCCUGAGUCAGGUACCAUGCAGGGACCUUUGCCUCCAUUCUCUCAUUUCAUGUAUUUUCUCUCCUUUCUGUUGGCACUACUAAAGAAAGAGCUGCCACAUGAAAUGAAUAGUGUAUUAGAAAUGUAUGCCAGAGGCUUUCCCCUGUAAUAAAGUUUUAGAAAAACUG
This 4061-nucleotide non-coding RNA is filed under the name Pongo abelii (Sumatran orangutan). Lineage: Eukaryota; Metazoa; Chordata; Mammalia; Primates; Hominidae. The record is from RNAcentral.